This 465-nucleotide ribosomal RNA is filed under the name Vreelandella stevensii. RNAcentral describes it as "partial 16S ribosomal RNA". It matches the Rfam family "Bacterial small subunit ribosomal RNA", at positions 338 to 795 of the family's 1533-position model. Lineage: Bacteria; Pseudomonadati; Pseudomonadota; Gammaproteobacteria; Oceanospirillales; Halomonadaceae. The record is from RNAcentral.
CCUACGGGGGGCUGCAGUGGGGAAUAUUGGACAAUGGGGGCAACCCUGAUCCAGCCAUGCCGCGUGUGUGAAGAAGGCCCUCGGGUUGUAAAGCACUUUCAGUGAGGAAGAACGCCUGGUGGUUAAUACCCAUCAGGAAAGACAUCACUCACAGAAGAAGCACCGGCUAACUCCGUGCCAGCAGCCGCGGUAAUACGGAGGGUGCGAGCGUUAAUCGGAAUUACUGGGCGUAAAGCGCGCGUAGGUGGCUUGAUAGGCCGGUUGUGAAAGCCCCGGGCUCAACCUGGGAACGGCAUCCGGAACUGUCAAGCUAGAGUGCAGGAGAGGAAGGUAGAAUUCCCGGUGUAGCGGUGAAAUGCGUAGAGAUCGGGAGGAAUACCAGUGGCGAAGGCGGCCUUCUGGACUGACACUGACACUGAGGUGCGAAAGCGUGGGUAGCAAACAGGAUUAGAUACCCCAGUAGUC